UACGUAGGGACCGAGCGUUGUCCGGAAUCAUUGGGCGUAAAGAGCGUGUAGGCGGUCCGGUAAGUCCGCUGUGAAAGUCGGGGGCUCAACCCUCGAAUGCCGGUGGAUACUGUCGGGCUAGAGUACGGAAGAGGCGAGUGGAAUUCCUGGUGUAGCGGUGAAAUGCGCAGAUAUCAGGAGGAACACCUAUUGCGAAGGCAGCUCGCUGGGACGUAACUGACGCUGAGACGCGAAAGCGUGGGGAGCAAACAGG
This 253-nucleotide ribosomal RNA is filed under the name uncultured bacterium. Its description in RNAcentral is "partial 16S ribosomal RNA". It matches the Rfam family "Bacterial small subunit ribosomal RNA", at positions 524 to 776 of the family's 1533-position model. The record is from RNAcentral.